This 66-nucleotide transfer RNA is filed under the name Leptonycteris curasoae (southern long-nosed bat). RNAcentral's name for it is "tRNA-Tyr". It matches the Rfam family "tRNA". From Rfam's summary of the family: Transfer RNA (tRNA) molecules are approximately 80 nucleotides in length. Their secondary structure includes four short double-helical elements and three loops (D, anti-codon, and T loops). The record is from RNAcentral. Lineage: Eukaryota; Metazoa; Chordata; Mammalia; Chiroptera; Phyllostomidae.
GGUAAUAUGGCCGAGCAGGUAUUAGACUGUAAAUCUAAGGACAGAGGUCGAGUCCUCUUAUUACCA